CUUGGAUAUGGGGAUAUGGUUCCGUCGACUGUUGUUGGAAAGAUAAUUGGCGCGCUUUCAGUAAUUAUAGGAUUUUUACUCUUCUCAUUGAUAAUACCUAUUAUGGCUACAAG
Molecule: small RNA, 113 nt
Filed under: Mytilus galloprovincialis (Mediterranean mussel)
Lineage: Eukaryota; Metazoa; Mollusca; Bivalvia; Mytilida; Mytilidae
Source: RNAcentral